This 448-nucleotide ribosomal RNA is filed under the name uncultured bacterium. RNAcentral describes it as "partial 16S ribosomal RNA". It matches the Rfam family "Bacterial small subunit ribosomal RNA", at positions 330 to 797 of the family's 1533-position model. The record is from RNAcentral.
UUCAGACUCCUACGGGAGGCAGCAGUGGGGGAUAUUGCACAAUGGGGGGAACCCUGAUGCAGCGACGCCGCGUGGGUGAAGGAGUAUUUCGGUAUGUAAAGCCCUAUCGGCAGGGAAGAAGCAAGACGGUACCUGACUAAGAAGCCCCGGCUAACUACGUGCCAGCAGCCGCGGUAAUACGUAGGGGGCAAGCGUUAUCCGGAUUUACUGGGUGUAAAGGGGGCGCAGACGGCGAUGCAAGCCAGGAGUGAAAGCCCGGGGCCCAACCCCGGGACUGCUCUUGGAACUGCGUGGCUGGAGUGCAGGAGGGGCAGGCGGAAUUCCUGGUGUAGCGGUGAAAUGCGUAGAUAUCAGGAGGACCACCGGUGGCGAAGGCGGCCUGCUGGACUGCAACUGACGUUGAGGCCCGAAAGCGUGGGGAGCAAACAGGAUUAGAUACCCGCGUACA